Boleophthalmus pectinirostris (great blue-spotted mudskipper) is the source of this 1047-nucleotide long non-coding RNA. RefSeq lists it as uncharacterized. The record is from RefSeq and is a predicted model, not a curated record. The transcript is spliced from 3 exons. Lineage: Eukaryota; Metazoa; Chordata; Actinopteri; Gobiiformes; Gobiidae.
AAUACUUUAUGAAUGUAAUUCAUUAUUGAUGACGUUUGAGAGUUUAUUUUGCCAGUGCAAAAACUCCUCAGAUUGGCUUCAUUUCGUUCUCCUCACCCCGACCUCUCGCUGCUAAAGAAGAUUUGGAGAGCACUUUGAAUCUCGUGUAGGAGUAAAAUGAAACGGAAGUCACAGGAGGGUCCUGUUUGUUAAAGAAGCGCUGUGUAACUUUUACUGAAAGAGCUGUCACCAGAGUCUAGAGCGGAGUAACCAAAAAAACUUUCUUAUCUCAUCACUAAUAUAUAUUUGUUUACAGCGAAGCCUGCCGUCACCAGAAGCAACUGCUGUGCUGAACCUGAGGAGGAAGUGUCCUACGCCACCAUCACCUACAAAAGGAACAACCGGAGAAAUGAGGUCGGACUCAGUGAGGAGGAGGAGGUGACCUACAGCUCAGUGAGGAAGACAGCGGUGGAGGACCCUGCUCAGUUCUACGCCACCGUCAGAACAUGAAACAGCAACCAACCCACCGACUGAUUAACCAACUGACCCACCGACAGAGAGAAGACAGAAGAAGCUCUAAAUAAACCUGUUCAAGAGUUACCCAACAGCGCCAUCUUGUGGUUAAACACGUCGAUCCUUUCAAAUCUUCUGUCAUCAGGAUGUUCAAAAUUCUGGAAUGGAGAAAAAAUUGAAGCAAACAUAAUAAUAAUAAUAAUAAUAAUAAUAAUAAUAAUAAUGAUUCACUGAUGAGCAGACUUGAAUGCUUUGUUUUUAUGACAUUAUAACAAAAAAUAAGCAACGAUUAUGAAUUUUCAAGCUACAAAUCUUAUUUACUUUGCUUCUCUGUUAAGAAGGAUGAAAAAAAAAUACAGUUUUCUAACCCUAAAAUAGUAUUUGGGCUUCACAAAAGGCAUAAUUUAUGAUGAAAUGUGUAAUAUAUCUGUAGAUGAAGUGAAAAACUGGAUUUUGCUUUAGUAAAAAUGCUCAGUGUCUCUCUUAAUCUCUUGUUAAAUAAACAAAUAAUGUAAAACACAACUGUAAAUGUUUUUAAACCAGGCUCUGAUUUCA